This 1153-nucleotide ribosomal RNA is filed under the name Leuconostoc mesenteroides. RNAcentral describes it as "bacterial SSU rRNA". It matches the Rfam family "Bacterial small subunit ribosomal RNA", at positions 26 to 1167 of the family's 1533-position model. The record is from RNAcentral. Lineage: Bacteria; Bacillati; Bacillota; Bacilli; Lactobacillales; Lactobacillaceae.
UGGAAUAGCGCUAGCUAUAAUGCAGUCGACGCACAGCGAAAGGUGCUUGCACCUUUCAAGUGAGUGGCGAACGGGUGAGUAACACGUGGACAACCUGCCUCAAGGCUGGGGAUAACAUUUGGAAACAGAUGCUAAUACCGAAUAAAACUUAGUGUCGCAUGACACAAAGUUAAAAGGCGCUUCGGCGUCACCUAGAGAUGGAUCCGCGGUGCAUUAGUUAGUUGGUGGGGUAAAGGCCUACCAAGACAAUGAUGCAUAGCCGAGUUGAGAGACUGAUCGGCCACAUUGGGACUGAGACACGGCCCAAACUCCUACGGGAGGCUGCAGUAGGGAAUCUUCCACAAUGGGCGAAAGCCUGAUGGAGCAACGCCGCGUGUGUGAUGAAGGCUUUCGGGUCGUAAAGCACUGUUGUAUGGGAAGAACAGCUAGAAUAGGAAAUGAUUUUAGUUUGACGGUACCAUACCAGAAAGGGACGGCUAAAUACGUGCCAGCAGCCGCGGUAAUACGUAUGUCCCGAGCGUUAUCCGGAUUUAUUGGGCGUAAAGCGAGCGCAGACGGUUUAUUAAGUCUGAUGUGAAAGCCCGGAGCUCAACUCCGGAAUGGCAUUGGAAACUGGUUAACUUGAGUGCAGUAGAGGUAAGUGGAACUCCAUGUGUAGCGGUGGAAUGCGUAGAUAUAUGGAAGAACACCAGUGGCGAAGGCGGCUUACUGGACUGCAACUGACGUUGAGGCUCGAAAGUGUGGGUAGCAAACAGGAUUAGAUACCCUGGUAGUCCACACCGUAAACGAUGAACACUAGGUGUUAGGAGGUUUCCGCCUCUUAGUGCCGAAGCUAACGCAUUAAGUGUUCCGCCUGGGGAGUACGACCGCAAGGUUGAAACUCAAAGGAAUUGACGGGGACCCGCACAAGCGGUGGAGCAUGUGGUUUAAUUCGAAGCAACGCGAAGAACCUUACCAGGUCUUGACAUCCUUUGAAGCUUUUAGAGAUAGAAGUGUUCUCUUCGGAGACAAAAGUGACAGGUGCUGCAUGGGUCGUCGUCAGCUCGUGUCGUGAAGAUGUUGGGUUAAGUCCCGCAACGAGCGCAACCCUUAUUGUUAGUUGCCAGCAUUUCAGAUGGGCCACUCUAGCCGAGACUGCCGGUGACAAACCCGA